AAAAUCUAAACAAAGCGUUACUUCCUGUUAAAAAACGCACGUUGGCAGUUCAGGUUGUGCACAGCUAUUUCAUGCGACAGCUUUUGUUGAAGAUGGCCUCGCCCUUGUCUCCCCGGCUAUUCAGCUUAAUGAAAGCUCGGCGACCAAGCUGACACCAUCCUCAUACAGCUGCGGAAUCAGAUCAACCUCCUCAAGGCAGCUGCAGUGUCCCAGUCAUGCAAAGGAGAGGAAGAUAUCCUGAGAGAACAAAAUGAGAAGUUGAAAAAUGAAAUAAAUCAGAUCAAGACCCAGCUUGUCAUGGCAGAAAUAAGAAAUGGAGUGAGACAAGUUGCCCUCCCCCCAAAGAGAGCAAUGUCAACAAGUGCAGGGGAGGGUAAUAGUGCCCCACCCCCAUCAGCAACCCCUGCUGCUGAACCAGCAUCUGCCCCUGCCCCUGGCCCAGCAAAGGUGAAGAAGGGUGAGAAACUAGAGAAGAAGAAACCAGAAAAGAAAGAAGGUGAGGCUAAGGGGAAGAAGGGGAAGGGAGCAGCUGAAACAGAGCCUGAGAAGAUGGACGUCUCAAGACUGGACCUGAGAGUUGGCAAGAUCCUGUCUGCUGAGAAGCACCCUGACGCAGACUCUCUUUACGUGGAGGAUGUGGAUGUGGGCGAGGAAAAGACCCGGACUGUGGUGUCUGGCCUUGUCAAGCAUAUUCCCCUAGAACAGAUGCAGAAUCGUAUCGCUGUGUUCAUGUGCAAUCUGAAGCCGGCCAAGAUGCGGGGGGUCCUGUCGCAAGGGAUGAUCAUGUGUGCCAGUUCUGCAGACAAGGUGGAGAUCCUGGAGCCACCCCCCGGAGUGCAGCCAGGGGACAGGGUCACCUUUGAAGGCUAUCCUGGUGACCCAGAUGCCCAGCUGAACCCCAAAAAGAAAAUUUGGGAGACGCUGAAACCAGACAUCCGCACUGACAACAACAAAGUAGCCAACUAUAAGGGUGCACCUUUUAAAAUCGAGGGCAAGGGAAUCGUCAAGGCUCCAACGCUAGCUGAUGCCCAGAUAUCUUAAAUGGAUAUUUUCAAACAGAUAAGCUGAACAUUAAAUGGUUUCAUUUGUACAGAUUGACAAGACUGGGAACAUUUGCCACCAA
RNAcentral lists this unclassified non-coding RNA (1123 nucleotides) under Haliotis rubra (blacklip abalone). RNAcentral describes it as "aminoacyl tRNA synthase complex-interacting multifunctional protein 1-like, transcript variant X2". Lineage: Eukaryota; Metazoa; Mollusca; Gastropoda; Lepetellida; Haliotidae. The record is from RNAcentral.